UAGGGAAUCUUCGGCAAUGGACGGAAGUCUGACCGAGCAACGCCGCGUGAGUGAAGAAGGUUUUCGGAUCGUAAAGCUCUGUUGUAAGAGAAGAACGAGUGUGAGAGUGGAAAAUUCACACUGUGACGGUAUCUUACCAGAAAGGGACGGCUAACUACGUGCCAGCAGCCGCGGUAAUACGUAGGUCCCGAGCGUUGUCCGGAUUUAUUGGGCGUAAAGCGAGCGCAGGCGGUUAGAUAAGUCUGAAGUUAAAGGCUGUGGCUUAACCAUAGUACGCUUUGGAAACUGUUUAACUUGAGUGCAAGAGGGGAGAGUGGAAUUCCAUGUGUAGCGGUGAAAUGCGUAGAUAUAUGGAGGAACACCGGUGGCGAAAGCGGCUCUCUGGCUUGUAACUGACGCUGAGGCUCGAAAGCGUGGGGAGCAAACAGGAUUAGAUACCCUGGUAGUCCACGCCGUAAACGAUGAGUGCUAGGUGUUAGACCCUUUCCGGGGUUUAGUGCCGCAGCUAACGCAUUAAGCACUCCGCCUGGGGAGUACGACCGCAAGGUUG
Molecule: ribosomal RNA, 550 nt
Filed under: uncultured bacterium
Lineage: Bacteria
Description: bacterial SSU rRNA
Rfam family: Bacterial small subunit ribosomal RNA
Source: RNAcentral